Molecule: unclassified non-coding RNA, 295 nt
Filed under: uncultured fungus
Lineage: Eukaryota; Fungi
Description: partial contains small subunit ribosomal RNA, internal transcribed spacer 1, and 5.8S ribosomal RNA
Rfam family: Eukaryotic small subunit ribosomal RNA (bases 1-73)
Source: RNAcentral
GCAAACUUGGUCAUUUAGAGGAAGUAAAAGUCGUAACAAGGUCUCCGUUGGUGAACCAGCGGAGGGAUCAUUACCGAGUUUACAACUCCCAAACCCCAGUGUGAACCGUACCCAAACGUUGCCUCGGCGGACCGCCCCGGCGCAGCCCCCCUCGGGGGGAUGCCCGGAUCCAGGCGCCCGCCGCAGGGACCCAAACCUCUGUUUUGUACAUGAUUCUCCUCUGAGUGGAUUUUACAAAUAAAUCAAAACUUUCAACAACGGAUCUCUUGGCUCUGGCAUCGAUGAAGAACGCAGC